Molecule: long non-coding RNA, 976 nt
Organism: Zophobas morio
Lineage: Eukaryota; Metazoa; Arthropoda; Insecta; Coleoptera; Tenebrionidae
Exons: 4
Source: RefSeq, a predicted model, not a curated record
AAAACUGGAAGAGGAAAAAAGUAAGAAGAAAAGUAACAAUCAGUUAAUAAAGUUAAAACGGCACAACAGUUUGACUUUUGCCAAGAAUAUGUACGCUAAAUCUCAGAAAGUAAUAAGCAAAACGACAAAUAGUAAGUUAAAAGGAAACACUUUUUUUUUUGAUCAUUUAAAGAAAAGCCCUGAGGGAGAACGCGUUAAUUCAUGUUGUAGAAAAAACAUGUUUUUUGGUAUAAAUAUAUGUAGCGAGAAGAUAUGUAAAGCUAAUAGUAAUAAUAAUAACGUUCUCCAAAAAGAUUAUACUGAGCCUUUAUCGGACUGUAACUACAAAUCUUUAACUAUAAGUGGAAAAGAUUUUAUUGAAAAGAAAAAAAAAAAAACAACUAUAAAUCUACGGUUUAUGAGCAGCUUCCGGAAAAACGAUAAAAAGAAACAAAAUUUUAAGGCAAAAAAGCAAGAUGAGCAACAAUCUGUGAAAAAGUUAAUAAAUCUUCAAAGGGAUUCCAAGUUUAAUGAAGGUCGAUACACUAAGAAAGAGGAUAAUAACUGUGAAUUUGCUUUAAAAAAGAAAACUCUACGACUGUUUUUAAGUGGAAAAGUCUUUCAGAAAAAAAGUACUUUUACUGUGCAUUAUUAAACAAGUGAUGCCCUCUACGUAUAUACUGCAAGGCAAACUUGGGGCUAUUAAGCACCGCUUCUUAUUUUUUAAUCCUGAAAUCGGGAUCAUUGUCUGGUUUUCUGUCAAAAGCGUAGAAAAAGCAAAAUUGGGUUGGUUGUGUAAUUACGAAGUACACGAAAAGGAGAACGUAUUAUACCAUGUUUUUUACUUAACUAAAGGCAAAAUCAAAAUUUUCUUUAAUGAAAAUUCUUCUGUCCAAGACGAGUGGAUUAGAGAGCUGAGUUUCUUUGCUUUUGAUCUACCCAAAUUCCCUAUUUGGUUUAAAGGACAGAAAAUUAUCAAUUACCGCCUAUAAGUUUG